UACGGAGGGGGCCAGCGUUGUUCGGAAUCACUGGGCGUAAAGCGCACGUAGGCGGACUUUUAAGUCAGGGGUGAAAUCCUGGAGCUCAACUCCAGAACUGCCUUUGAUACUGGGAGUCUCGAGUUCGGAAGAGGUUGGUGGAACUGCGAGUGUAGAGGUGAAAUUCGUAGAUAUUCGCAAGAACACCAGUGGCGAAGGCGGCCAACUGGUCCGAUACUGACGCUGAGGUGCGAAAGCGUGGGGAGCAAACAGG
RNAcentral lists this ribosomal RNA (253 nucleotides) under uncultured bacterium. Its description in RNAcentral is "partial 16S ribosomal RNA". It matches the Rfam family "Bacterial small subunit ribosomal RNA", at positions 524 to 776 of the family's 1533-position model. The record is from RNAcentral.